This 1365-nucleotide long non-coding RNA is filed under the name Capra hircus (goat). RNAcentral's name for it is "lncRNA (ENSCHIG00000007210.1)". Lineage: Eukaryota; Metazoa; Chordata; Mammalia; Artiodactyla; Bovidae. The record is from RNAcentral.
GGGGAACCAAAGCCCGAGUUCCCCAGCUGCAGAGGGCUUGGAGACCUGGGGCCUCGGGGAGCGGGCACUUGGCCCCUCACUCCCAGGAGGUGGGAGGUCCCUUCCUUCUGCCCCAGCGGUAGGGGUCGGGGGUUGGGCUGAGGCUGUCCGUGCCUGCCAGCCCUGGACACCCUGAGAGCCUGCCAGGGCUGCCUGCCCAGAGACUGGCAGAGCCUCAGGAAUGAAAAAGCGAUAGGCCGUCCACCCACCACUGAUGCUUGAAUUCCAAGGACCUGCUCCCUGUCUUUGGGGCAGGGGUUGGGGGACUCAAGACAAACCAACUGCAGUUUGCAUCUCUCGCCCUAGAAAUGAGGGCAUCUGCCCCAGACGCUGAGGUCUCGCCCUCCCCCCACGUCCCCUUCCUUUCAUCCCACCCCUCCCCACCUCCCAGACACCAGACAUGGUUGUCUUCCACCUCCAGACGCCAGAUGGCUCCCUCUCUUUGCCUUUACCCCUCCAGACGGUCCGGGCCCCUCCCCUUGCGAGUCCGAGGUUCCAAGCCCCAGCCUCAGCCCGCGCUGACCCGGCCUCCCAGCUCUCUUAGGGAUUGCCGGCCAAGCCCCGCUCAGGAUGCUGGAGGGAUGCACCCUUCACCACUGCGGGCCUCACCCCUGUGUUCCCUGCCUGACAGCCCUGGACCUGGGCCAAGCAUCCCCGGCCUCCUGGGGUGUCCAGGGAGGGCCCUGCUGGCCCCAGUGGGAGCCUUCCUGACCUCUGCUCCAGGUCAACAGCAGCUGCUGCCCGCCCUUCACCCGUAUCCCCAUCAUGCUGUGGCUGAGAGGCGGGCAGGGCUUGGAGGAACUGGGGAGGAGGCCCCCAGCCCUGGCACACUGGCAUGAAGGGCCAGCAGGGCGAUGCUGUCUGCACGGGCUGGGCCUGCACGGCCGUGUCUCUCCGCGUUCAGAGCUGAGAGAGGGCCCUGCCCGGGGAUGGGCACAGGCCUGGGGGGCGGACCCAGGGUUUUCCAGGCCUCAGUCGGUCUCUGAAGCAGGAGCAGAGUGAUCUGCUCCAAUACCUGGGGGAGGAGUCUGGGAGGGCCGUGCAUCUCUCCAGGGGACCGGAUGAGCCCAGAACCAGAGCCAACUGGUCAGCGGGUCCUGGAGCGGGGUUUGGAAUGGCCCGGGCCAGACUCAGCCCUGCCUCUGGGGGUGGGCUCCCUGGAUGAGGGCACCCGUCCAGGGAGUGGAGACUCGGGGCCACGUCCGGCUGCACCUGCCAUCUCCCGGCUGGGGGCAGGGGGCUCUGGCCACCCCCACUGGCACUGCUGCCCUGGAGGAGGAUGGCUGUGACCCUUCUUGGCAGCCAGCAGGGUGCUUGCGUCAUCUG